Quercus robur (English oak) is the source of this 1679-nucleotide RNA transcript. It is a transcript of the gene named putative pentatricopeptide repeat-containing protein At3g11460, mitochondrial, with no coding region annotated. The transcript is spliced from 2 exons. The record is from RefSeq and is a predicted model, not a curated record. NCBI's taxonomy places the organism in Eukaryota, Viridiplantae, Streptophyta, Magnoliopsida, Fagales, Fagaceae.
GCUAAUAAGAAAUAAUACUAAUCCAUAGAAGAUCUCUGUUAUGUUAUUGCAUGCGUUGCUCUUAGAGGUAAGAGCUAACAUGGCAUCCACUCGUGACAUCGUACCCUUGUACGCAACACUCCUCGACGCUUGCUCUUCCACCAAAAACCUCCAAAAUCUCAAACGUCUUCACGCCCGAACAAUUAGACUCGGCAUUUCACCUCACGACUUCAUCCGAACUAAGCUCAUCUCCUCCUACGCCUCCUGUGCCCAACUUCACCAAGCUAACCUUCUUUUCUCCUUUGCCACUCGCCGACCCACUUACCUUUUCAACACUCUCAUCAGAGCCUACUCAUCUCUCAGUCUCUUCUCUCACUCUCUCUCCCUUUUUCGCCAAAUGCUCCUUGCUGCCAAACCCAUUGACCGCCACACCUUGCCCGUUGUGCUUAAAUCGUGCGCCGGGUUAUCGGCUCUACGGCUUGGCCGGCAAGUCCACAAUGCGGUUUUGGUUAAUGGGUUUACCUUAGAUUUGGGAAAUUCGAACGCGUUGAUAACAAUGUAUGUUAAGUGUGGUGAUUUGGAAAAUGGGCGUAAGGUGUUUGAUGGAAUGCCUGUGAGGAAUGAGAUUUCUUGGUCAGCGAUGAUGGCAGGGUAUGGGAUGCAUGGGUUGUUUAGUGAAGUGUUUGGGUUGUUUGAUAGAAUGUUGGAGGCUAAUGAGAGGCCGGAUGGCGUGACUUUUACGACGGUACUGACAGCUUGUAGUCAUGGUGGUUUGACAGACAGAGGGAGGGAGUAUUUCAAGAUGAUGCAGGGGAGGUUUGGGGUUAAGCCAGGGCUGGAGCACUAUACGUGUAUGGUGGAUAUGUUGGGGAGGGUAGGCCAGGUGGAGGAAGCGGAAAAGUUGAUUUUUGGAAUGGAGAUAGAGCCUGAUGAAGCUCUUUGGGCCGCAUUGUUGGCUGCUUGUAGAAUUCAUGGGAAGCUGGAGGUGGCUGAGAGGGUGGCAGAGAAGGUUUAUGGGAAGCGACUGAGUGUAGAAUCUUUGUGAAUCAUUUUGCUGCAUGGACUUAAGAUUGUUGCUUGAAUGAGUUCUAUAGUUCAAGAAGCUAUGUUGGGGAAGACAUUUUGACUUCUUGGAUCACCAUGAAAAUUGAAAGUCAUUUCUGGAGCUGAAGCAUUUAGCAAGCGAACAGAUAAGAGUGCUCAUUUCACCUUUGCCAGCUUCUUCAUUUGAGAAAUACCUUUUGGUGGCAACUCAUGGAAAUGCCAUAUCAAAGUAUACCAUAAAUUCUUUAGUUUCUUUGCUCUUCCUUUGCAUGGUUUAAGUGUUUCUUGAUGACCUUGCUAUCAAUAUUUAAGUGAUAUUGAUCGGUGAGGGAUGAUAAGAACACGCUACAAGUUGUUACAUUGACCAGAAGAUAAAAGGGGUUGGUAUUUCAUGAGUGGUAGAAGAGCUGAACUGAAGCUACUAUUAAAAUGUCCAAAAUUGGGGAAAGGAGCCGUUAGGAUAGUUUGGCCAACAAAUAGAGAUCAUUAUACUUUUCAAGAAUAUAUUCAUAAAUUUUAAGACUAUGACGAUGUAUUGGCUUUCAUUCACCUUCACAUUCAGGCUUCAUUAUGAUUGGUUCCCUGUAUGUCAUUAUUCCUUUUGUAGCUCUAGUUACAACAGUAUGGCAAGAUUGACCGACUCUUUCUAUACAUAU